UAUUACUGUCUUCUUCACAGCUGCGCUGCCAUUAUACAGAUGAGCAAAGUGAGGUUUUCAAUCCACGCUUUGGCUUGUUCAAGGACUCUUGACCCAGAACUUCACGUUGCCAAAGCGCAUCACUUUCCUUCCAUGGAGGUAAAAUGGGGAGCCGAUCUCUUCUCCAGAAAAGCACAUUGGCCAAGUCCCAGGAGCCAGGAAAGAUGUGCCCUUCUGUCCCUGCAUGCAAUACAGAGCCUCACCAAGGCAGUCUGGGCUGAGACACUGGAGCACCGGGUCCAAACCCUGCCAUACCUGCUAGCUGUCACAUCGGCCCCUGCAGCCUCAGUUUCCACUUCGGGCAAAAUGGGCUCCUGGUAGCACCUACCUCCUUGCAUGGUCGUAAGGAUUUCUGUUCGAAAGUGCCUGACACCUCGUAGCCUUCUUUGAGCACUCUCCGCACCUGGGAUAACAAAAAACCUCCCCCGCCCCGGGUUGUUGGAGGAACCCUGGAGAUGAUGGGCGUCCAUCUGCCGUCAAGCAGGAAGAUAUGAAACAGUUCCGCCCAAGAGGGCAGGGAUUUUAUCUCUUCUGUUCUCUGCUGUAUCUUCAGAACCUAGAACACUGCCAGGCACGUAAGUAAUCAAUAAGUAUAUAUUUUUAAAUAAAUGAACAAGCAAGGGAUGAGGCUGGAGAGACAGGGAGGCUGGAGGCAGAUCUGGGGGGCCUUGAAUGCCACACUCAGGAGCAUGGCUGUGACCGGCAGUGAUGGACUCACCCUGGGAGGGAGGCAGGGCCUCGGAGAGAUCACUGUCCCAUGGCAGCUGGGCUGACAGUUGGGAUGACUGGGGAGGUGAGAGAUGGCCGAGGCCGCCUUCCAGAGGCAGCUUUCUGAGGGAGGCUUGGGCAUCAACCACUUAGCAUCGUUCGUGAAUGUCGGCAGCCACUUCACCCCCUGCCUUCCUGCCUCCUCCUGCCGUCCCCCCCGCCACCCCGGAUGUUAAACAGGAGCCCUGGAGAAGCCAUGGUUUCUCAGUGUUUCCCGGGCAAUAAAGAUGUGCUAGACAACGGGACAGGGCCCACGGGGCUGAGGAGGCAGGCACGGGGGUGGGCGGGUGAGAAGAGGUCCCAAGGCAGCCACUGCGGGGCGGGGGUCCUGGUGUGUCAGACCCUGGGGUCAAGCUGUUGAAGGGUCACCCCUCCCAGACCGUGGCUGGCUAUUCAGAACCAGGGAUUUUACAGCAACCUGAAAAUCCAGGGAAAGACCAAACUUCUGGAAUCAGCCGGCCUUCGGCCACUUGUUCCUUAAUUGCACACUGUUGAACAGGUCACAUAUAUGCCCCACACCUCCCUCUCCACAUCUCGGAAUGGGGUGGGGUGAGGAUUCAAUGGGGAAAGUGAUGGAUCUAAAGCAGCCAGCUCAAUGCCAGGUGCACAACGGUUGCCUUUGUCACUGUUAACCCCUCUACUGCUAGUAUUCCUUAACAAUCCACUUUAUCACCCUGCCCAUAAAGGGAGGGGGAGGAUGGCGGAAGGUUACCAGAGGAAACAAGUCAGUAGUGGAGAGAAAAAGCAAGUUCUGGAGUCAAACAGAUCUGAGUUCAAAUCCAGCUGUGUGACUUUGGGUAAGGCGCAUCACCUCUCUGAACCUCAGUUUUCUCAUUCAGAAAACAAGGAUGGUACCUUCCUCUCAUGGUGCGGUGAGGAUUACUGGACGCGGAUGCUGUGUGGAGAGGUCUACACUUUCGAAAGCACUCUUUCCCAUCCAUCAUUUCAUUGGAGCCUCGCUUCAGCACCUCAGGAUGAACAGGACUGAGAGUUUGAUCCACAUUUGACAAACGGGGACACAAGAGCUCAAGCGGCGUUGCACUCAGGGGAGCAAUCUGCUCAAAUGUCACACAGCCGGUGAGAUUCUGGGAUGGACACGAAGCCAGGCAUCUCAACUCCCGUCUCUUUUCAGAUCAGCCGCUUAGGUAUUCAUCCACUCAACAGACAGUCCCUGAGCUAAGCUCCAGCAAUAAGGCAGUAAAUGGGCAGACACGACUUCCGCCCUCGAGGAACUUGGAGCCUGGUGGCUCAGGACACAGAGACCUUUUCCGAGACUGCACCAAUCACAGGGAAGACCCAGUUCUGCUCAGAGACCGCAGAUCGGGAUGCACCCUGAGUUCAGAGUCAUGGCUUUUGUGCCCACCUUGGGCAGUGAGCAGGCCAGGAACAGAAGAUUUCUCUACCCUCAGGGAUGAAAUCCACUCGUUAAUAAGCCCAGAUACUGGGAAUUCCCUGGUGGUCCUGCUUCCAGGGCAGGUUCGAUCCUUGGUCGGGGAACUAAGCUCCUGCAAGCUGCACAGCACGGCCAAAAAUAAAUACAUAAAUAAAAGCCCAGAGAUUUGCACCAGGAUCCCAGCCUGAACAAGAGUCCUAAAAUAAAGGUUUCCAUAGCCAGAUGCGUUCAGAAAAGCUACACAUCUCCCACCCUCUCUGAGAGUCACACUGCUUUGGCACGUACUACACCCUGGAAA
Molecule: long non-coding RNA, 2498 nt
Organism: Lagenorhynchus albirostris (white-beaked dolphin)
Lineage: Eukaryota; Metazoa; Chordata; Mammalia; Artiodactyla; Delphinidae
Exons: 3
Source: RefSeq, a predicted model, not a curated record